CAACUACAAAGAAUGGAAGGCUUAUCUCAAAGAGGUAUUCUCCGUUGAAGAUGUUGACGAUCAAACUGUAGACGAGGUGACCCCCGAGUUGCGGGAAGCCUCUGGUAAUGAUGCUGUAGACGAGGUGACCCAAGAGUUGCGGGAAGCCCCUGGUAAUGAUGCUGUACACGAGGUGACCCCCGAGUUGCGGGAAGCCUCUGGUAAUGAUGCUGUACACGAGGUGACCCAAGAGUUGCGGGAAGCCUCUGGUAAUGAUGCUGUACACGAGGUGACCCAAGAGUUGCGGGAAGCCCCUGGUAAUGAUGCUGUACACGAGGUGACCCAAGAGUUGCGGGAAGCCCCUGGUAAUGAUGCUGUACACGAGGUGACCCAAGAGUUGCGGGAAGCCCCUGGUAAUGAUGCUGUACACGAGGUGACCCAAGAGUUGCGGGAAGCCCCUGGUAAUGAUGCUGUACACGAGGUGACCCCCGAGUUGCGGGAAGCCUCUGAUGAAGGAAAUGAAGCAGCAGACGAGACGACGUCCGAGGAGGGAAAAGUCGCUCAGAACGGUACAGUGGCCGCAGACAAGAACGCCCCCCAUAACGGCGAGGCCUCUGCACCGGUGACAGUCUCUGCCACGCCCUCCACUGUUGCCUACGCUUACCGCAGCCUUAUUGUGCCUCAUAGAUUCAUGAAUCGCCUCGCAGGCCCCGAGGACCGCCACCUCGAGGAUCUGCGGCGGAGCUAUGGGGUCAAAAUCGUGCGGAUUAAGCGAACCCUGCACGUGAAGGGCCACAAAGACGCAGUGCUGCAGUGCCACCACUCCAUGCGCGCCAAGAUCGCUGAGUGGCGGGGGGACGAGGCCGCUGACGCUCAUUAAGCGACUUAGACACCUGAGACGGCCGAGUAACACUGCUCGUGACCUGAAGCUGCAGACGAGGCGACCUCCGAGUUGCGGGAAGCCUCUGGUGAAGGAAAAGGUGCUGGCGACGAGGCGACCUCCGAGUUGCGGGAAGCCUCUGGUGAAGGAAAAGGUGCUGGCGACGAGGCGACCUCCGAGUUGCGGGAAGCCUCUGGUGAAGGAAAAGGUGCUGGCGACGAGGCGACCUC
Long non-coding RNA from Eriocheir sinensis (Chinese mitten crab), 1089 nucleotides. RefSeq lists it as uncharacterized. The transcript has 6 exons. NCBI's taxonomy places the organism in Eukaryota, Metazoa, Arthropoda, Malacostraca, Decapoda, Varunidae. The record is from RefSeq and is a predicted model, not a curated record.